CGCGGCCUAUCAGCUUGUUGGUGAGGUAACGGCCCACCAAGGCGACGACGGGUAGCCGGCCUGAGAGGGCGACCGGCCACACUGGGACUGAGAUACGGUCCAGACUCCUACGGGAGGCAGCAGUGGGGAAUAUUGCGCAAUGGGCGAAAGCCUGACGCAGCAACGCCGCGUGCGGGAUGAAGGCCUUCGGGUUGUAAGCCGCUUUCAGCAGGGACGAAGGGUUACCUUGACGGUACCUGCAGAAGAAGCACCGGCUAACUACGUGCCAGCAGCCGCGGUGAUACGUAGGGUGCGAGCGUUGUCCGGAAUUAUUGGGCGUAAAGAGCUUGUAGGCGGUCUGUUGCGUCGGAAGUGAAAACUCAGGGCUCAACCCCGAGCCUGCAGUCGAUACGGGCAGACUAGAGUGCUGUAGGGGAGACUGGAAUUCCUGGUGUAGCGGUGAAAUGCGCAGAUAUCAGGAGGAACACCGGUGGCGAAGGCGGGUCUCUGGGCAGUAACUGACGCUGAGGAGCGAAAGCGUGGGGAGCAAACAGGAUUAGAUACCCUGGUAGUCCACGCCGUAAACGGUGGGUGCUAGGUGUGAGCGGUAUUCCACGCCGUUCGUGCCGCAGCUAACGCAUUAAGCACCCCGCCUGGGGAGUACGG
This 645-nucleotide ribosomal RNA is filed under the name uncultured bacterium. RNAcentral describes it as "bacterial SSU rRNA". It matches the Rfam family "Bacterial small subunit ribosomal RNA", at positions 232 to 885 of the family's 1533-position model. The record is from RNAcentral.